Molecule: ribosomal RNA, 261 nt
Filed under: uncultured bacterium
Lineage: Bacteria
Description: partial 16S ribosomal RNA
Rfam family: Bacterial small subunit ribosomal RNA
Source: RNAcentral
GACGUAGGGAGCAAGCGUUGUCCGGAUUUACUGGGCGUAAAGCGCGCGUAGGCGGUCUGUUAAGUGAGAAGUGAAAUCUCCGGGCUCAACUCGGAAACGUCUUUUCAUACUGGCAGACUGGAGUGACGAAGAGGUGAGUGGAAUUCCCGGUGUAGCGGUGAAAUGCGUUGAUAUCGGGAGGAACACCCAUGGCGAAGGCAGCUCACUGGUCGUCAACUGACGCUGAGGCGCGAAAGCGUGGGUAGCAAACAGGAUUAGAAC